Molecule: non-coding RNA, 79 nt
Organism: Apis mellifera (honey bee)
Lineage: Eukaryota; Metazoa; Arthropoda; Insecta; Hymenoptera; Apidae
Source: Rfam
UACGGGCGGGCCUGACUCUUUGCUCUGCCCGUAUCUUUUUUUCCACUCUGGGUGAGCAAAGUUUCAGGUGUGUCCGUGA